CCUACGGGGGGCUGCAGUGAGGAAUAUUGGUCAAUGGACGAGAGUCUGAACCAGCCAAGUAGCGUGAAGGAUGACUGCCCUAUGGGUUGUAAACUUCUUUUAUAUGGGAAUAAAAUGUUCCACGUGUGGGAUUUUGUAUGUACCAUAUGAAUAAGGAUCGGCUAACUCCGUGCCAGCAGCCGCGGUAAUACGGAGGAUCCGAGCGUUAUCCGGAUUUAUUGGGUUUAAAGGGAGCGUAGGUGGAUUGUUAAGUCAGUUGUGAAAGUUUGCGGCUCAACCGUAAAAUUGCAGUUGAAACUGGCAGUCUUGAGUACAGUAGAGGUGGGCGGAAUUCGUGGUGUAGCGGUGAAAUGCUUAGAUAUCACGAAGAACUACGAUUGCGAAGGCAGUUCACUGGACUGCAACUGACACUGAGGCUCGAAAGUGUGGGUAUCAAACAGGAUUAGAUACCCGUGUAGUC
Molecule: ribosomal RNA, 460 nt
Filed under: uncultured bacterium
Lineage: Bacteria
Description: partial 16S ribosomal RNA
Rfam family: Bacterial small subunit ribosomal RNA
Source: RNAcentral